This 318-nucleotide ribosomal RNA is filed under the name Triticum aestivum (bread wheat). RNAcentral describes it as "partial small subunit ribosomal RNA". Lineage: Eukaryota; Viridiplantae; Streptophyta; Magnoliopsida; Poales; Poaceae. The record is from RNAcentral.
AAUUCCAGAUACUUGACACUGGCUGCAGCUGUGAUCUUGCUUCUGGUACUGAUGGCGGACACAGAGGCUGAAGCCAUCCGGCUAGAUGCAGAGGCGCGGGCAUCACUCAGCGGCAGCGGUGGCAACUCAAUGCCGUCGAUGCAGAAGCCGAUUGGGAACAAUGCCGUCAACGUGGUCAAGGGUUCUGCUGGCUCGACCAGUGAGACAAAGAGGAGCGUCCAAGUUGCUGCAGAUGAAGUUAGGGCGGUGGCGUAUAAGCUGCCGGAGUUUCAUGAGGACUACUACGGUCCAAGUGAUCACAGCCCUAGGCACCAUUGA